GACGAACGCUGGCGGCGUGCCUAAUACAUGCAAGUAGGACGCAGUUGCGAACGGGUGAGUAGCGCGUAGGUAACUACCUAUUAGAGGGGUAUAACUAUUGGCAACGAUAGCUUAUACCGCCUACUAGUAGUUGGACCUGCGUUGUAUUAGGUAGUAGGUCGGGUAAUGGCCUACCUAGGCAACGAUACAUAGCCGACCCGGGAGGGUGAGUGGCCACAACGGGAAUGGGGAAAGGGCCAGACUCCUACGGGGGGCAGCAGGAGGGAAUCUUCGGCAAUGGGGGGAACCCUGGCCGAGCAAAGCCGCGUGAGUGAAGAAGGGUUUCGGAUCGGAAAGCUCUGUUGUUAAGGAAGCGGUACUUAACCAGAAAGGGACGGCUAACUACGUGCCAGCAGCCGCGGUAAUUC
RNAcentral lists this ribosomal RNA (407 nucleotides) under uncultured bacterium. RNAcentral's name for it is "partial 16S ribosomal RNA". It matches the Rfam family "Bacterial small subunit ribosomal RNA", at positions 28 to 526 of the family's 1533-position model. The record is from RNAcentral.